This 304-nucleotide ribosomal RNA is filed under the name Enterobacter sp. BC1_KBB1. Its description in RNAcentral is "bacterial SSU rRNA". It matches the Rfam family "Bacterial small subunit ribosomal RNA", at positions 1074 to 1378 of the family's 1533-position model. The record is from RNAcentral. Lineage: Bacteria; Pseudomonadati; Pseudomonadota; Gammaproteobacteria; Enterobacterales; Enterobacteriaceae.
GUUGGGUUAAGUCCCGCAACGAGCGCAACCCUUAUCCUUUGUUGCCAGCGGUCCGGCCGGGAACUCAAAGGAGACUGCCAGUGAUAAACUGGAGGAAGGUGGGGAUGACGUCAAGUCAUCAUGGCCCUUACGAGUAGGGCUACACACGUGCUACAAUGGCGUAUACAAAGAGAAGCGACCUCGCGAGAGCAAGCGGACCUCAUAAAGUACGUCGUAGUCCGGAUUGGAGUCUGCAACUCGACUCCAUGAAGUCGGAAUCGCUAGUAAUCGUAGAUCAGAAUGCUACGGUGAAUACGUUCCCGGG